UAAGGAAUAUUGGUCUAUGGACGCAAGUCUGAACCAGCCAUGCCGCGUGGAGGAUUAAGGCCCUCUGGGUUGUAAACUCCUUUUAUCUGGGAAGAAAUGUACUUUUUCUUGAGUACUUGACGGUACCAGAGGAAUAAGCACCGGCUAACUCCGUGCCAGCAGCCGCGGUAAUACGGAGGGUGCAAGCGUUAUCCGGAUUCACUGGGUUUAAAGGGUGCGUAGGUGGGCAGGUAAGUCAGUGGUGAAAUCUCCGGGCUUAACCCGGAAACUGCCGUUGAUACUAUUUGUCUUGAAUAUUGUGGAGGUAAGCGGAAUAUGUCAUGUAGCGGUGAAAUGCUUAGAUAUGACAUAGAACACCAAUUGCGAAGGCAGCUUACUACACAAUCAUUGACGCUGAGGCACGAAAGCGUGGGGAUCAAACA
RNAcentral lists this ribosomal RNA (422 nucleotides) under uncultured bacterium. RNAcentral's name for it is "bacterial SSU rRNA". It matches the Rfam family "Bacterial small subunit ribosomal RNA", at positions 355 to 774 of the family's 1533-position model. The record is from RNAcentral.